RNAcentral lists this ribosomal RNA (911 nucleotides) under uncultured Eubacteriales bacterium. RNAcentral's name for it is "bacterial SSU rRNA". It matches the Rfam family "Bacterial small subunit ribosomal RNA", at positions 483 to 1398 of the family's 1533-position model. The record is from RNAcentral. Lineage: Bacteria; Bacillati; Bacillota; Clostridia; Eubacteriales.
GGAGGAAGCCCCGGCUAACUACGUGCCAGCAGCCGCGGUAAUACGUAGGGGGCAAGCGUUAUCCGGAAUUAUUGGGCGUAAAGAGUGCGUAGGUGGUUACUUAAGCAGGGGGUGAAAGGCAAUGGCUCAACCAUUGUUAGCCCCCUGAACUGGGCUACUUGAGUGCAGGAGAGGAAAGCGGAAUUCCUAGUGUAGCGGUGAAAUGCGUAGAUAUUAGGAGGAACACCAGUGGCGAAGGCGGCUUUCUGGACUGUAACUGACACUGAGGCACGAAAGUGUGGGGAGCAAACAGGAUUAGAUACCCUGGUAGUCCACACCGUAAACGAUGAGCACUAGGUGUCGGGGUCGCAAGGCUUCGGUGCCGCAGUUAACGCAUUAAGUGCUCCGCCUGGGGAGUACGUACGCAAGUAUGAAACUCAAAGGAAUUGACGGGGACCCGCACAAGCAGCGGAGCAUGUGGUUUAAUUCGAAGCAACGCGAAGAACCUUACCAGGACUUGACAUCCCGAUGACCGGUUCUUAACCGAACCUUCUCUUCGGAGCAUCGGUGACAGGUGGUGCAUGGUUGUCGUCAGCUCGUGUCGUGAGAUGUUGGGUUAAGUCCCGCAACGAGCGCAACCCUUGCCAUUAGUUGCCAUCAUUAAGUUGGGCACUCUAGUGGGACUGCCGGGGAUAACUCGGAGGAAGGUGGGGAUGACGUCAAAUCAUCAUGCCCCUUAUGUUCUGGGCUACACACGUGCUACAAUGGUCGGUACAAAGAGCAGCAAUACCGUGAGGUGGAGCAAAUCUCAAAAGCCGAUCCCAGUUCGGAUUGUAGGCUGCAACUCGCCUACAUGAAGUUGGAGUUGCUAGUAAUCGCGGAUCAGAAUGCCGCGGUGAAUGCGUUCCCGGGUCUUGUACACACCGCCCGUA